AGUUUUGUAAUUGGAAUGAGUUAAGUAUAAACCCCUUUACAAGUAUCAAUUGGAGGGCAAGUCUGGUGCCAGCAGCCGCGGUAAUUCCAGCUCCAAUAGCGUAUAUUAAAGUUGUUGCAGUUAAAAAGCUCGUAGUUGGAUUUCUGUUAAUAAUUUAUAUAUAAUAUUUUACGAUAUUUAUAUAAUAUUAACAUAAUUCAUAUUACUAUAUAUUAUUAUUAGUAUAUGAAAUUUUACUUUGAGAAAAUUAGAGUGCUUAAAGCAGGCAUUUGCCUUGAAUACUCCAGCAUGGAAUAAUAUAAAAGAUUUUUAUCUUUUUUAUUGGUUCUAAGAUAAAAAUAAUGAUUAAUAGGGACAGUUGGGGGCAUUUGUAUUUAACAGUCAGAGGUGAAAUUCUUAGAUUUGUUAAAGACAAACUAGUGCGAAAGCAUUUGCCAAGGAUGUUUUCAUUAAUCAAGAACGAAAGUUAGGGGAUCGAAGACGAUCAGAUACCGUCGUAGUCUUAACCAUAAACUAUGCCAACUAGAGAUUGGAGGU
RNAcentral lists this ribosomal RNA (537 nucleotides) under Cryptosporidium environmental sequence. Its description in RNAcentral is "SSU rRNA". It matches the Rfam family "Eukaryotic small subunit ribosomal RNA", at positions 499 to 1060 of the family's 1831-position model. The record is from RNAcentral. Lineage: Eukaryota; Apicomplexa; Conoidasida; Eucoccidiorida; Cryptosporidiidae.